Molecule: long non-coding RNA, 173 nt
Organism: Ornithodoros turicata
Lineage: Eukaryota; Metazoa; Arthropoda; Arachnida; Ixodida; Argasidae
Exons: 3
Source: RefSeq, a predicted model, not a curated record
CUUUUUCCGAUUCCCUCAGCACUGUGGACAAUGAUCAGUCUGAAUUACUGAAGACCACAGUGCCCCAGACAGCACGACCUCGACUAGAUGUAGAGUCACGCCUCCCAACACCAUUUGCAGGUCAUUCGGUCCAGUUUGCAGACAUACUCGAAGAAAUUGGCUCCUUUAGCAGA